AUACGGAGGAUCCGAGCGUUAUCCGGAUUUAUUGGGUUUAAAGGGUGCGCAGGCGGCCAUUUAAGUCAGCGGUUAAAUCUUGGGGCUCAACCCCAUUCUGCCGUUGAUACUGGGUGGCUUGAUUGCGGUCGAGGUUGGCGGAAUUCGUUGCGUAGCGGUGAAAUGCAUAGAUAUGACGAAGAACACCGAUUGCGUAGGCAGCUGACCAGACCGCAAAUGACGCUCAUGCACGAAAGUGCGUGGAUCGAACAGGAUUAGAUACCCUGGUAGUCCGCACAGUAAACGAUGAAUACUUGGUUUCGGCGAUAUAAUGUCGGAGGCAAAGCGAAAGCGAUAAGUAUUCCACCUGGGGAGUACGCCGGCAACGGUGAAACUCAAAGGAAUUGGCGGG
RNAcentral lists this ribosomal RNA (391 nucleotides) under uncultured bacterium. RNAcentral describes it as "partial 16S ribosomal RNA". It matches the Rfam family "Bacterial small subunit ribosomal RNA", at positions 523 to 917 of the family's 1533-position model. The record is from RNAcentral.